GGCAGCAGUGGGGAAUAUUGCCAAUGGGCGCAAGCCUGAUGCAGCGACGCCGCGUGGGGGAUGACGGCCUUCGGGUUGUAAACUCCUUUCGCCAGGGACGAAGCGUUAUGUGACGGUACCUGGAUAAGAAGCACCGGCUAACUACGUGCCAGCAGCCGCGGUAAUACGUAGGGUGCGAGCGUUGUCCGGAAUUACUGGGCGUAAAGAGCUCGUAGGUGGUUUGUCGCGUCGUUUGUGUAAUACCGCAGCUUAACUGUGGGGUUGCAGGCGAUACGGGCAAACUUGAGUGCUGUAGGAGAGAUCGGAAUUCCUGGUGUAGCGGUGGAAUGCGCAGAUAUCAGGAGGAACACCGAUGGCGAAGGCAGGUCUCUGGGCAGUAACUGACGCUGAGGAGCGAAAGCAUGGGUAGCGAACAGGAUUAGAUACCCUGGUAGUCCACGCCGUAAACGGUGGGCGCUAGGUGUGAGGUCCCUUCCACGGGGUUCCGUGCCGUAGCUAACGCAUUAAGCGCCCCGCCUGGGGAGUACGGCCGCAAGGCUAAAACUCAAAGACGGCCGGCCGCCAGGGCG
Molecule: ribosomal RNA, 569 nt
Filed under: uncultured bacterium
Lineage: Bacteria
Description: bacterial SSU rRNA
Rfam family: Bacterial small subunit ribosomal RNA
Source: RNAcentral